AUAUGGUCAAGUAAGUAAGGGCUUACGGUGGAUGCCUUGGCAUUGGCUGGCGAUGAAGGACGUGGGUUGCUGCGAUAAGCGUCGGGGAGCCGUAACCAGGCUUUGAUCCGGCGAUCUCCGAAUGGGGAAACCCGGCGGUCAGAAAGGCCGUCAUCCCGCAAGGGAAGCAAACCCGGGGAAUUGAAACAUCUAAGUACCCGGAGGAAAAGAAAUCAACCGAGAUUCCGUAAGUAGCGGCGAGCGAACGCGGAACAGCCUAAACCUCUGUCUACGUUACAGCUGCAGGGCGCUGUAGCAGAGGGGUUGUAGGAGCUGCAUGGGUCGCCUGUAUGACCCGAGAAAGUUACCAAGUUUACUCUUAGGUGAAGGCAUCUGGAAAGAUCCGCCAAAGAGGGUGAUAGCCCCGUAACCGAAAAGAGUAAGCCUUUCGCAGAUUUCCUGAGUACGAUCCAACACGAGAAAUUGGGUCGGAAGCUACCAAGACCACUUGGUAAGGCUAAAUACACGCCAAUGACCGAUAGUGAACGAGUACUGUGAAGGAAAGGUGAAAAGCACCCCGGAAGGGGAGUGAAAUAGAACCUGAAACCGUAAGUCUACAAGGUGUCGAAGCUCCUUUUGUGAGCGACGGCAUUCCUUUUGAAGAAUGAGCCGGCGAGUUACUUUACGUUGCAAGGUUAAGACAGUCAAUGUCGAAGCCGAAGCGAAAGCGAGUCCGAAGUGGGCGCAAAGUAGCGUGGAGUAGACCCGAAGCCGUGUGAUCUACCCAUGAGCAGGUUGAAGGUCGGGUAAAACCGGCUGGAGGACCGAACCGCCUAGCGUUGAAAAGCUAUCGGAUGACUUGUGGGUAGGGGUGAAAGGCCAAUCAAACUCGGCUAUAGCUGGUUCUCUCCGAAAUAGCUUUAGGGCUAGCGUUAUGCGUUCAAUCGCGGGGGUAGAGCACUGAAAGGACUAGGGGGCCCACCAGCCUACCAAACCCUAUCAAACUCCGAAUACCGUUGAUUCUAGAGCAUGGCAGUCAGAACGCGGGGGAUAAGCUUCGCGCUCAAGAGGGAAACAGCCCAGACCGUCGUCUAAGGCCCCUAAGUCUACGCUAAGUGGCAAAGGAGGUAGGGACGCUCAGACAACCAGGAUGUUGGCUUAGAAGCAGCCACCAUUUAAAGAGUGCGUAAUAGCUCACUGGUCAAGCGUCCCCGCGCCGAAAAUGUAAUGGGACUAAGCGUGGCGCCGAAGACACGGAUUUCCGUAAGGAAGUGGUAGGAGAGCGUUGUAUUCAGCGUUGAAGGCACACCGGGAGGAGUGCUGGAGCGUUUACAAGUGAGAAUGCCGGCAUGAGUAGCGUUAAAGAGGGUGAGAUUCCCUCUCGCCGAUAGCCCAAGGUUUCCCCGGCAAGGCCAAUCCGCCGGGGGUUAGUCGGCCCCUAAGACCAACCCGAAAGGGGUAAUCGAUGGGAAGCAGGUUCAUAUUCCUGCACCGCCGUGGGCCUGUUUGAGUGAUGGAGUGACGCGGAAGGGUAUGCAAUCGGACUGUUGGUUGUCCGUCUCUGGUUGUGGCGUGGUUUCCAGGAAAAUCCGGAAGCCGUAUACGUGAGGACUGGAGCGAGUGAUCCUACGGGUGAUCGUAGUUGUUGAUCCCAUGCCGACGAGAAAAACUUCUAAACGAGGGACCGCGGUGACCGUACCGUAAACGGACACACGUGGGCAAGGAGAAUAUCCUGAGGCGCUCGAGAGAACUCUUGCUAAGGAACUCGGCAAGUUAGCUCCGUAACUUAGGGAUAAGGAGCGCCCCAUUAUUGUGAAGGACCUGCGUCUGGAGCGAGAAGGGGCCGCAGAGAAAUGGGGGUGGCGACUGUUUAUCAAAAACACAGGUCUCUGCUAAGUCGCAAGACGACGUAUAGGGACUGACACCUGCCCGGUGCCGGAAGGUUAAGAGGAGGGGUUAGACUUCGGUCGAAGCUCUGAAUUGAAGCCCCGGUAAACGGCGGCCGUAACUAUGACGGUCCUAAGGUAGCGAAAUUCCUUGUCGGGUAAGUUCCGACCCGCACGAAUGGUGAAACGACCUCCCCACUGUCUCAGCAAGAGACUCGGCGAAAUUCUAGUGCCCGUGAAGAUGCGGGCUUCCAGCACCUGGACGGAAAGACCCCGUGAACCUUUACUGUAACCUGGCACUGAACUCUGGUUCAGUAUGUGUAGCAUAGGUGGGAGACUUUGAAGCGGAGGCGCCAGCCUCUGUGGAGUCAAAGGUGAAAUACCACUCUUACUGGACUGGAGUUCUAACCGGUAUUAGAAAUACUGGAACACUGUCAGGCGGGCAGUUUGACUGGGGCGGUCGCCUCCUAAAGAGUAACGGAGGCGCCCAAAGGUUCCCUCAGCGCGGCCGGAAAUCGCGCGUAGAGUGUAAAGGCAUAAGGGAGCUUGACUGCGAGACCUACAAGUCGAGCAGGGACGAAAGUCGGGCUUAGUGAUCCGGUGGUUCUGUGUGGAAGGGCCAUCGCUCAACGGAUAAAAGGUACUCCGGGGAUAACAGGCUUAUCGCGCCCAAGAGUUCAUAUCGACGGCGCGGUUUGGCACCUCGAUGUCGGCUCGUCGCAUCCUGGGGCUGGAGCAGGUCCCAAGGGUUUGGCUGUUCGCCAAUUAAAGCGGCACGCGAGCUGGGUUCAGAACGUCGUGAGACAGUUCGGUCCCUAUCCGGUGUUGGCGUUGGAGAUUUGAGAGACCCUGUCCCUAGUACGAGAGGACCGGGAUGGACGAACCUCUAGUGCACCUGUUGUCGCGCCAGCGGCAUCGCAGGGUAGCUAUGUUCGGAAGGGAUAACCGCUGAAAGCAUCUAAGCGGGAAGCCUUUCUCAAGAUGAGAUCUCCCUGGGCUUCGGCCCCUGAAGACACCUCAAAGACCAUGAGGUUGAUAGGCCACAGGUAUAAGGGCAGUAAUGUCUGUAGCCGAGUGGUACUAAUAUGUCGUGAGGCUUGACCAUAUUACACC
Molecule: ribosomal RNA, 2978 nt
Filed under: Spirochaetaceae bacterium
Lineage: Bacteria; Pseudomonadati; Spirochaetota; Spirochaetia; Spirochaetales; Spirochaetaceae
Description: bacterial LSU rRNA
Rfam family: Bacterial large subunit ribosomal RNA
Source: RNAcentral